GAUGAACGCUGGCGGCGUGCCUAAUACAUGCGAGUCGAGCGAACAGACGAGGAGCUUGCUCCUCUGACGUUAGCGGCGGACGGGUGAGUAACACGUGGAUAACCUACCUAUAAGACUGGGAUAACUUCGGGAAACCGGAGCUAAUACCGGAUAAUAUAUUGAACCGCAUGGUUCAAUAGUGAAAGACGGUUUUGCUGUCACUUAUAGAUGGAUCCGCGCCGCAUUAGCUAGUUGGUAAGGUAACGGCUUACCAAGGCAACGAUGCGUAGCCGACCUGAGAGGGUUAUCGGCCACACUGGAACUGAGACACGGUCCAGACUCCUACGGGAGGCAGCAGUAGGGAAUCUUCCGCAAUGGGCGAAAGCUUGACGGAGCAACGCCGCGUGUGUGAUGAAGGUCUUCGGAUCGUAAAACUCUGUUAUUAGGGAAGAACAAAUGUGUAAGUAACUAUGCACGUCUUGACGGUACCUAAUCAGAAAGCCACGGCUAACUACGUG
Molecule: ribosomal RNA, 497 nt
Filed under: uncultured bacterium
Lineage: Bacteria
Description: partial 16S ribosomal RNA
Rfam family: Bacterial small subunit ribosomal RNA
Source: RNAcentral